CAGUAGCCACGGUAAUACAGAGGGUGCGAGCGUUAAUCGGAUUUACUGGGCGUAAAGCGUGCGUAGGCGGCUUUUUAAGUCGGAUGUGAAAUCCCUGAGCUUAACUUAGGAAUUGCAUUCGAUACUGGGAAGCUAGAGUAUGGGAGAGGAAGGUAGAAUUCCAGGUGUAGCGGUGAAAUGCGUAGAGAUCUGGAGGAAUACCGAUGGCGAAGGCAGCCAUCUGGCCUAAUACUGACGCUGAGGUACGAAAGCAUGGGGAGCAAACAGGAUUAGAUACCCCGGUAGUCCCUGUCUCUUAUAC
This 301-nucleotide ribosomal RNA is filed under the name uncultured bacterium. RNAcentral describes it as "partial 16S ribosomal RNA". It matches the Rfam family "Bacterial small subunit ribosomal RNA", at positions 509 to 807 of the family's 1533-position model. The record is from RNAcentral.